This 445-nucleotide ribosomal RNA is filed under the name uncultured Propionibacteriaceae bacterium. RNAcentral's name for it is "partial 16S ribosomal RNA". Lineage: Bacteria; Bacillati; Actinomycetota; Actinomycetes; Propionibacteriales; Propionibacteriaceae. The record is from RNAcentral.
GACUACUGGGGUAUCUAAGCCUGUUUGCUCCCCACGCUUUCGCUUCUCAGCGUCAGGAAAGGUCCAGAGAACCGCCUUCGCCACUGGUGUUCCUCCCGAUAUCUGCGCAUUCCACCGCUCCACCGGGAAUUCCAUUCUCCCCUACCUUCCUCAAGUCAGCCCGUAUCGCAAGCAGGCCCAGGGUUAAGCCCUGAGUUUUCACUUCCGACGCAACCAACCGCCUACAAGCUCUUUACGCCCAAUAAUUCCGGACAACGCUCGCACCCUACGUAUCACCGCGGCUGCUGGCACGUAGUUAGCCGGUGCUUCUUCUGUAGGUACCGUCACUUGCGCUUCGUCCCUACUGAAAGCGGUUUACAACCCGAAGGCCGUCAUCCCGCACGCGGCGUUGCUGCAUCAGGCUUCCGCCCAUUGUGCAAUAUUCCCCACUGCUGCCUCCCGUAGG